UACGUAGGGUGCAAGCGUUGUCCGGAAUUAUUGGGCGUAAAGAGCUCGUAGGCGGUCUGUCGCGUCUGCUGUGAAAACCUGGGGCUUAACCCCGGGCCUGCAGUGGGUACGGGCAGACUAGAGUGUGGUAGGGGAGUCUGGAAUUCCUGGUGUAGCGGUGAAAUGCGCAGAUAUCAGGAGGAACACCGGUGGCGAAGGCGGGACUCUGGGCCGAUACUGACGCUGAGGAGCGAAAGCGUGGGGAGCAAACAGG
This 253-nucleotide ribosomal RNA is filed under the name uncultured bacterium. RNAcentral describes it as "partial 16S ribosomal RNA". It matches the Rfam family "Bacterial small subunit ribosomal RNA", at positions 524 to 776 of the family's 1533-position model. The record is from RNAcentral.